AGAUUAAGUUAUUAAGGGCGCACGGUGGAUGCCUUGGCACUAGAAGCCGAUGAAGGACGUUACUAACGACGAUAUGCUUUGGGGAGCUGUAAGUAAGCUUUGAUCCAGAGAUUUCCGAAUGGGGAAACCCAGCAUGAGUUAUGUCAUGUUAUCGAUAUGUGAAUACAUAGCAUAUCAGAAGGCACACCCGGAGAACUGAAACAUCUUAGUACCCGGAGGAAGAGAAAGAAAAUUCGAUUCCCUUAGUAGCGGCGAGCGAAACGGGAAGAGCCCAAACCAACAAGCUUGCUUGUUGGGGUUGUAGGACACUCUAUACGGAGUUACAAAGGACGACAUUAGACGAAUCAUCUGGAAAGAUGAAUCAAAGAAGGUAAUAAUCCUGUAGUCGAAAAUGUUGUCUCUCUUGAGUGGAUCCUGAGUACGACGGAGCACGUGAAAUUCCGUCGGAAUCUGGGAGGACCAUCUCCUAAGGCUAAAUACUCUCUAGUGACCGAUAGUGAACCAGUACCGUGAGGGAAAGGUGAAAAGCACCCCGGAAGGGGAGUGAAAUAGAACCUGAAACCGUGUGCUUACAAGUAGUCAGAGCCCGUUAAUGGGUGAUGGCGUGCCUUUUGUAGAAUGAACCGGCGAGUUACGAUUUGAUGCAAGGUUAAGCAGUAAAUGUGGAGCCGUAGCGAAAGCGAGUCUGAAUAGGGCGUUUAGUAUUUGGUCGUAGACCCGAAACCAGGUGAUCUACCCUUGGUCAGGUUGAAGUUCAGGUAACACUGAAUGGAGGACCGAACCGACUUACGUUGAAAAGUGAGCGGAUGAACUGAGGGUAGCGGAGAAAUUCCAAUCGAACCUGGAGAUAGCUGGUUCUCUCCGAAAUAGCUUUAGGGCUAGCCUCAAGUGAUGAUUAUUGGAGGUAGAGCACUGUUUGGACGAGGGGCCCCUCUCGGGUUACCGAAUUCAGACAAACUCCGAAUGCCAAUUAAUUUAACUUGGGAGUCAGAACAUGGGUGAUAAGGUCCGUGUUCGAAAGGGAAACAGCCCAGACCACCAGCUAAGGUCCCAAAAUAUAUGUUAAGUGGAAAAGGAUGUGGCGUUGCCCAGACAACUAGGAUGUUGGCUUAGAAGCAGCCAUCAUUUAAAGAGUGCGUAAUAGCUCACUAGUCGAGUGACACUGCGCCGAAAAUGUACCGGGGCUAAACAUAUUACCGAAGCUGUGGAUUGUCCUUUGGACAAUGGUAGGAGAGCGUUCUAAGGGCGUUGAAGCAUGAUCGUAAGGACAUGUGGAGCGCUUAGAAGUGAGAAUGCCGGUGUGAGUAGCGAAAGACGGGUGAGAAUCCCGUCCACCGAUUGACUAAGGUUUCCUGCGGUAGGCUCGUCUGCUCUGGGUUAGGCGGG
RNAcentral lists this ribosomal RNA (1386 nucleotides) under Staphylococcus aureus. RNAcentral's name for it is "bacterial LSU rRNA". It matches the Rfam family "Bacterial large subunit ribosomal RNA", at positions 1 to 1388 of the family's 2925-position model. Lineage: Bacteria; Bacillati; Bacillota; Bacilli; Caryophanales; Staphylococcaceae. The record is from RNAcentral.